RNAcentral lists this ribosomal RNA (253 nucleotides) under uncultured bacterium. RNAcentral describes it as "partial 16S ribosomal RNA". It matches the Rfam family "Bacterial small subunit ribosomal RNA", at positions 524 to 776 of the family's 1533-position model. The record is from RNAcentral.
UACGUAGGGAGCAAGCGUUGUUCGGAUUUACUGGGCGUAAAGGGCGCGUAGGCGGCGCGGUAAGUCACUUGUGAAAUCUCUGAGCUUAACUCAGAACGGCCAAGUGAUACUGCAGUGCUAGAGUGCAGAAAGGGCAAUCGGAAUUCUUGGUGUAGCGGUGAAAUGCGUAGAUAUCAAGAGGAACACCUGAGGCGAAGGCGGGUUGCUAGGCUGACACUGACGCUGAAGCGCGAAAGCCAGGGGAGCAAACGGG